RNAcentral lists this small RNA (207 nucleotides) under Arabidopsis thaliana (thale cress). RNAcentral describes it as "ATSL218620". The record is from RNAcentral. Lineage: Eukaryota; Viridiplantae; Streptophyta; Magnoliopsida; Brassicales; Brassicaceae.
UAGUGUAACAACACGUUCAGUGGAAUGCUAGUCCUCUGGAAAAAUUGUUAAAGGGUGAGGUCUUAGAUUCGAAAAACUCCAAACAUACUAACAAAAUGUAUAAUGGGUCAGAAGGGCUUAUAGGAUCGAUGCGCUGUAACGCCAACUGAAUUCCACGGAACAGGUUGUUACAUAUAGAGUUUGUAAGAUUGAAGGAAAAAUUAACAU